GACGAACGCUGGCGGCGUGCUUAACACAUGCAAGUCGAACGGAAAGGCCCUGCUUGCAGGGUACUCGAGUGGCGAACGGGUGAGUAACACGUGGGUGAUCUGCCCUGCACUUCGGGAUAAGCUUGGGAAACUGGGUCUAAUACCGGAUAGGAACCAUCUUUAGUGUGGUGGUUGGAAAGUUUUUUCGGUGUAGGAUGAGCUCGCGGCCUAUCAGCUUGUUGGUGGGGUAAUGGCCUACCAAGGCGGCGACGGGUAGCCGGCCUGAGAGGGUGUACGGCCACAUUGGGACUGAGAUACGGCCCAGACUCCUACGGGAGGCAGCAGUGGGGAAUAUUGCACAAUGGGCGCAAGCCUGAUGCAGCGACGCCGCGUGGGGGAUGAAGGCCUUCGGGUUGUAAACUCCUUUCGCUAGGGAGGAAGCUUUGUUGUGACGGUACCUAGAUAAGAAGCACCGGCUAACUACGUG
RNAcentral lists this ribosomal RNA (466 nucleotides) under uncultured bacterium. RNAcentral's name for it is "partial 16S ribosomal RNA". It matches the Rfam family "Bacterial small subunit ribosomal RNA", at positions 28 to 507 of the family's 1533-position model. The record is from RNAcentral.